Molecule: ribosomal RNA, 263 nt
Filed under: Clostridioides difficile
Lineage: Bacteria; Bacillati; Bacillota; Clostridia; Peptostreptococcales; Peptostreptococcaceae
Description: partial 23S ribosomal RNA
Rfam family: Bacterial large subunit ribosomal RNA
Source: RNAcentral
CAACAACAGACUCGGUGAAAUUGUAAUUCCGGUGAAGAUGCCGGAUACCUGCGACAGGACGGAAAGACCCCAUGGAGCUUUACUGUAGCUUGACAUUGGGUCUUGGUACUACAUGUACAGGAUAGGUGGGAGGCUUUGAAACCAGGACGCCAGUUUUGGCGGAGCCAUCCUUGGGAUACCACCCUUGUAGUACUGGGACUCUAACCAUAGGCCAUGAAUCUGGUCUUGGGACACUGUCAGGUGGGCAGUUUGACUGGGGCGGU